This 1133-nucleotide long non-coding RNA is filed under the name Macaca mulatta (Rhesus monkey). RNAcentral's name for it is "lncRNA (ENSMMUG00000049320.1)". Lineage: Eukaryota; Metazoa; Chordata; Mammalia; Primates; Cercopithecidae. The record is from RNAcentral.
GUGGGGGAGAAUAAAUAAGGGUGGAUAAAAGAAAGAAAGAAAACAGAGAACGAUGGUGAAAAAAACAAAGGAAGGAAGAGAGAAAAGAAAAAGAGGAAGAGAAGGAAGGGGAAAAACAAGACUGACUUUACAAUAUGAGAUAUACUAUUAUAUAUUGAGCUGCAGAAACCAAAUCCAACAACUUUUGGCAAGGAAGCUUCCUUUUAUCAUGCACCUCCCUCCCUUGGGACUUGUAGAGUCUUCUCUUCUUGGAAGGCCUACGCAUUUGCAAUUCUCUACACCUACUGUAGUCCCAUGAGAAAUAUGUUAUUUUCCCAAAUUUCAACAAAGAAGUUGGAAUGACAUUUUAUUUACUGACAUUGACAUUAUUUUGCACUUCUUCCAACUCUCAAGAAAAUAAGAACCACUUGAUGGUAGCAAUACCACUAUCACUGCUGCUUCUGUAAAUAAUUAUUUACAAUAAUUAACACAACUUAAUCUGACUUUAUCUAACAUAUCUUAUUUUUAGCUUUUGAAUACAAUAUUUACUUGGAUUUAUCUGAGUAAUUAUUUGAAAAAAUAUCCUCAGUUUGAAACAUGGCUUAUUGACUCCAGAUAUGUCAUCAUCAGAACUAACUCAUGUAACUUUAUUCUUAACCUUUCAAUAUUUCAGUUUUAUUAUAAAAGUAAUAGUCAGUUUUGCUAUGAUACGUAAUGGUACUUUUGAUUAAUAAAUUACUGUACACAUGUGCUGCUAAAGCUCUGCAACCCUAAUUUAUUUAGAACCUCUUUUUUCUUUCUCUCAUGCUACAGAGGUUAAAAACGUUACUGAUACACUGGGUUUCCCUAGUGAAUACUCAAAACAUUUUUAAAAUCUGAUUUAAAAAUUAUAGCAUCAUCCUGUAUAAUUUCUUUACUAAUGUACAUAUAUCCCCAAUCCCUACACCAGGAAUUGGCAAAUAUUUUCUGUCAAGGGCUAGAGAGUAAAUAUUUUAGACUUGCAGGACAUACAAUUUCUGCCACAACUACAACUCAGCCUUUGGAGCCUGGAAACAGCUACAAACAGUACAUAAACAGAUGAUCAUGGUUGUUUAUUACUGUUUCUGGACACUUGUAUUAGUUUGCUAGCGCUGCCAUAACAAAAUACCAUAUAC